Molecule: long non-coding RNA, 742 nt
Filed under: Mytilus galloprovincialis (Mediterranean mussel)
Lineage: Eukaryota; Metazoa; Mollusca; Bivalvia; Mytilida; Mytilidae
Source: RNAcentral
GAAAAGGGAGAAGUUUUAGUAUCAUUAAAACGUUUAAUCCCGCUGCAAAUGUUUGCAUCUGUCCUAUAAGUCAGGAAUCUGCUGAACAGUGGCUGUCGUCUGUUUAUGUAGUUCAUACGUGUUUCUCGUUUCUCGUUUUUAUAUAGAUUAGACCGUUGGUUUUCCCGUUUUAAUGGUUUUAAACUAGUAAUUUUGUGGCCCUAUAUAGCUUGCUGUUAGGUGUGAGCCAAGGCUCCGUGUUGAAGGCCGUACCUUGACCUAUACUGGUUUACUUUUAUAAAUUGUUACUUGGAUGUAGAGUUGUCUCAUUGGCACUCAUACCACAUCUUCCUAUACCUAUUUACAUUAUAUUAAUAUUAGUAGUUUUCCAGUAGCAUCAGUAGUAAUGAAAGUCAAACACAAUUUGAAAUAUCACCAAGUUAAUCAAUGCAUUUCCUGCUAACGAAAUCUGAAAUCUGAAAUCAAAGACAACGUGCGAAAUGAAGAAACCAAGGUAUUCCUAAUAAGGUUUGACCUAAAAACUGUUAUACUCUACAUACCCUGCACCAAGAAACAGAGUUUGCAUUUCAUUAUCUUCUACUAAAGAUAAUCGUGAGAAUUAAUAGAGAAAGUCUUCAAGCCCUACAGUUAUUGUAAACUAACGAAAAUCCAGUAAUAAUAUGCCACAUUUGAGGUAGCAUAUGAUGAAGACACAUAAAAAUGCGUCGUUGUCACAUUAUGCAGUAAUUAAUAAGUAACGAGA